RNAcentral lists this small RNA (107 nucleotides) under uncultured Prevotella sp. RNAcentral's name for it is "RT-5 RNA". It matches the Rfam family "RT-5 RNA". Rfam says of the family: Clostridium (Firmicutes). Environment (Cow rumen (57)) Lineage: Bacteria; Pseudomonadati; Bacteroidota; Bacteroidia; Bacteroidales; Prevotellaceae. The record is from RNAcentral.
UUGCGCCUGCGAAGGACGAAGCGGAGCCCCCACGAGGCAUGGUCUUGCAGGCGGCCGGGCGCCGUCCCCGUCUUGUGAUCACCAAUUUUGGUGAUUCAAAUCAUUUC